RNAcentral lists this ribosomal RNA (533 nucleotides) under Entamoeba sp. Its description in RNAcentral is "bacterial SSU rRNA". It matches the Rfam family "Eukaryotic small subunit ribosomal RNA", at positions 52 to 592 of the family's 1831-position model. Lineage: Eukaryota; Evosea; Mastigamoebida; Endamoebidae. The record is from RNAcentral.
UGCAUGUGUAAGUUUAAAGACCAAGUAGGAUGAAACUGCGGACGGCUCAUUAUAACAGUAAUAGUUUCUUUGGUUAGUCGGUACAAGGAUAACUUUGUGAAUGAUAAAGCUAAUACUUGAGACGAUCCGGGGAGUAUCAAUACUUUUCGGCCGUUGGCCGCAAGGCUGGCGAGAAACGACAUUCUCUUGUGAAAAAGGAUGCCGCGACAAUUGAGGAAAGCGACGCUUUUAACAAGUAUCCAAUGGGAAUUUCUGAUCUAUCAAUUUGUUGGUAGUAUCGAGGACUACCAAGAUUAUAACGGAUAACGAGGAAUUGCGGUUCGACAUCGGAGAGGGAGCUUUACAGAUGGCUACCACUUCUAAGGAAGGCAGCAGGCGCGUAAAUUACCCACUUUCGACUUGAAGAGGUAGUGACGACAAAUAACUCUUGGCGCCCUUCGGGGUGACUUGAAGGAAUGAUUUAGAAGUAAAUUCUCUAAAGAAAUCAAUUGGAGGGCAAGUCUGGUGCCAGCAGCCGCGGUAAUUCCAGCUCC